AACGCGAAGAACCUUACCUGAUCUUGACAUCCCGAUGACCGCUUCGUAAUGGAAGCUUUUCUUCGGAACAUCGGUGACAGGUGGUGCAUGGUUGUCGUCAGCUCGUGUCGUGAGAUGUUGGGUUAAGUCCCGCAACGAGCGCAACCCCUAUCUUCAGUAGCCAGCAGGUUAAGCUGGGCACUCUGGAGAGACUGCCAGGGAUAACCUGGAGGAAGGUGGGGAUGACGUCAAAUCAUCAUGCCCCUUAUGACCAGGGCUACACACGUGCUACAAUGGCGUAAACAAAGAGAAGCGAACUCGCGAGGGUAAGCAAAUCUCAAAAAUAACGUCUCAGUUCGGAUUGUAGUCUGCAACUCGACUACAUGAAGCUGGAAUC
Molecule: ribosomal RNA, 376 nt
Filed under: bacterium enrichment culture DGGE gel band G11
Lineage: Bacteria
Description: bacterial SSU rRNA
Rfam family: Bacterial small subunit ribosomal RNA
Source: RNAcentral